Molecule: ribosomal RNA, 495 nt
Filed under: uncultured bacterium
Lineage: Bacteria
Description: partial 16S ribosomal RNA
Rfam family: Bacterial small subunit ribosomal RNA
Source: RNAcentral
GACGAACGCUGGCGGCGUGCCUAAUACAUGCAAGUAGAACGCUGAAGGAGGAGCUUGCUUCUCUGGAUGAGUUGCGAACGGGUGAGUAACGCGUAGGUAACCUGCCUGGUAGCGGGGGAUAACUAUUGGAAACGAUAGCUAAUACCGCAUAAGAGUAGAUGUUGCAUGACAUUUGCUUAAAAGGUGCAAUUGCAUCACUACCAGAUGGACCUGCGUUGUAUUAGCUAGUUGGUGGGGUAACGGCUCACCAAGGCGACGAUACAUAGCCGACCUGAGAGGGUGAUCGGCCACACUGGGACUGAGACACGGCCCAGACUCCUACGGGAGGCAGCAGUAGGGAAUCUUCGGCAAUGGACGGAAGUCUGACCGAGCAACGCCGCGUGAGUGAAGAAGGGUUUCGGAUCGUAAAGCUCUGUUGUAAGAGAAGAACGAGUGUGAGAGUGGAAAGUUCACACUGUGACGGUAUCUGACCAGAAAGGGACGGCUAACUACGUG